GGGGGCGUACCGGUUUCGACGGGGUCGUUGAGAUCAGGGAAGCGGGUGGAGGAUUCUCGUUGGCCUCCUUAAAAAACGAGAGCGCAAGUAAUUGCAAACAAGACAGAGCUCGUAGCAGCAUAAUUUAAGCUACCGUCCGGUUCGUAUAUCUGCGUACGGAUAAUGGACGCCACUUGCAGACCUUACCUGUCGGAGGUUAAACGGGACCACCUCAAGGGCAAAGCUUUGAGCCCUUGUUGUAUUUAUCAAGUUACCGGAAUCAUUGCCUGUCAUUGGGCGAAAUGAGGAAGGGAAUAAAUCCAUACAAUGACUGCACCCGGAGAUGCCUUGAAGGAUAUGGUUUCGGACAGGAGUUCGAUUCUCCUCGCCUCCACCA
RNAcentral lists this transfer-messenger RNA (376 nucleotides) under Saccharofermentanaceae. RNAcentral's name for it is "Saccharofermentans sp902803365 Standard tmRNA". It matches the Rfam family "transfer-messenger RNA". From Rfam's summary of the family: Bacterial tmRNA, also known as 10Sa RNA or SsrA, is named for its dual tRNA and mRNA-like properties. Its role is to liberate the mRNA from a stalled ribosome. To accomplish this part of the tmRNA is used as a reading frame that ends in a translation stop signal. Lineage: Bacteria; Bacillati; Bacillota; Clostridia; Saccharofermentanales. The record is from RNAcentral. RNAcentral also lists the same sequence under 1 other name.